Small nuclear RNA from Aotus nancymaae (Ma's night monkey), 107 nucleotides. NCBI's taxonomy places the organism in Eukaryota, Metazoa, Chordata, Mammalia, Primates, Aotidae. The record is from Ensembl.
AUGAUCACUUUGGCAGCACAUACACUAACAUUGGAAUGAUACAGAGUAGAGUAGCAAGGCCCCUGCAAAAGAAUGCAACACAAAUUCGAGAAGCAGUCCGUAUUUUU